This 361-nucleotide unclassified non-coding RNA is filed under the name Dendronephthya gigantea. RNAcentral's name for it is "calcium/calmodulin-dependent protein kinase type II delta chain-like, transcript variant X2". Lineage: Eukaryota; Metazoa; Cnidaria; Anthozoa; Malacalcyonacea; Nephtheidae. The record is from RNAcentral.
UAUAUGUUUGGUAUGCCAUAUACUUCAGUUUACUCAAAUUCACGUAGUGAACACGAUUUGUAAUGAAGCUGGAGCAGGCAAAUAACCCAUUGGAGAAACAAGUCAAAGAAGGGUCGUAUAAAUUUCCGAACAACCUCUGGAAGAAUGUUAGCAGUGAAGCUAAGGAUCUUAUAACAAAACUGCUUACUGUUGGUCACAGAAAAUGCAUCACGGUUUCAGAAGCUCUGGAACAUCCUUGGAUGAAGGAUAAAGAAAUGAUAGAAAAAGCAGAAAAAAUGAUAAAACCGACCGUGGAUGGAAGAUCAAUGUCUCCGCCCUUAUAAAAGACAUUUUGAAGACAACAGAGACCAAAAAAGCGAAA